Molecule: ribosomal RNA, 223 nt
Filed under: uncultured bacterium
Lineage: Bacteria
Description: partial 16S ribosomal RNA
Rfam family: Bacterial small subunit ribosomal RNA
Source: RNAcentral
GAUCAUGGCUCAGGACGAACGCUGGCGGCGUGCUUAAUACAUGCAAGUCGAACGAAGCUGCAUAUAGGAAGCCUUCGGGUGGAAUAGAUGUAGACUUAGUGGCGGACGGGUGAGUAACGCGUGAGCAACCUGCCCAUAAGAGGGGGACAACAGUUGGAAACGACUGCUAAUACCGCAUAAGACCACGCUAUCGCAUGAUAGAGGGGUCAAAGAAAUAUCGCUU